AUUGAACGCUGGCGGCAUGCCUUACACAUGCAAGUCGAACGGCAGCACGGGAGCUUGCUCCUGGUGGCGAGUGGCGAACGGGUGAGUAAUACAUCGGAACGUACCCCUGAAGUGGGGGGAUAACGUAGCGAAAGUUACGCUAAUACCGCAUAUUCUGUGAGCAGGAAAGAGGGGGGAUCGCAAGACCUCUUGCUUUUAGGAGCGGCCGAUGUCGGAUUAGCUAGUUGGUGAGGUAAAGGACUCACCAAGGCGACGAUCCGUAGCGGGUCUGAGAGGAUGAUCCGCCACACUGGGACUGAGACACGGCCCAGAACUCCCUACGGGAGGGCAGCAGUGGGGAAUUUUGGACAAUGGGCGCAAGCCUGAUCCAGCCAUGCCGCGUGAGUGAAGAAGGCCUUCGGGUUGUUAAA
This 410-nucleotide ribosomal RNA is filed under the name uncultured bacterium. RNAcentral's name for it is "bacterial SSU rRNA". It matches the Rfam family "Bacterial small subunit ribosomal RNA", at positions 30 to 430 of the family's 1533-position model. The record is from RNAcentral.